CUACAGGCUUAACACAUGCAAGUCGAGGGGAAACGACAUCGAAAGCUUGCUUUUGAUGGGCGUCGACCGGCGCACGGGUGAGUAACGCGUAUCCAACCUGCCCACCACUUGGGGAUAACCUUGCGAAAGUAAGACUAAUACCCAAUGAUAUCUCUAGAAGGCAUCUGAAAGAGAUUAAAGAUUUAUCGGUGAUGGAUGGGGAUGCGUCUGAUUAGCUUGUUGGCGGGGUAACGGCCCACCAAGGCAACGAUCAGUAGGGGUUCUGAGAGGAAGGUCCCCCACAUUGGAACUGAGACACGGUCCAAACUCCUACGGGAGGCAGCAGUGAGGAAUAUUGGUCAAUGGACGAGAGUCUGAACCAGCCAAGUAGCGUGCAGGAUGACGGCCCUAUGGGUUGUAAACUGCUUUUAUAAGGGAAUAAAGUGAGAGUCGUGACUCUUUUUGCAUGUACCUUAUGAAUAAGGACCGGCUAAUUCCGUGCCAGCAGCCGCGGUAAUACGGAAGGUCCGGGCGUUAUCCGGAUUUAUUGGGUUUAAAGGGAGCGUAGGCCGGAGAUUAAGCGUGUUGUGAAAUGUAGAUGCUCAACGUCUGCACUGCAGCGCGAACUGGUUUCCUUGAGUACGCACAAAGUGGGCGGAAUUCGUGGUGUAGCGGUGAAAUGCUUAGAUAUCACGAAGAACUCCGAUUGCGAAGGCAGCUCACUGGAGCGCAACUGACGCUGAAGCUCGAAAGUGCGGGUAUCGAACAGGAUUAGAUACCCUGGUAGUCCGCACGGUAAACGAUGGAUGCCCGCUGUUGGUCUGAAUAGGUCAGCGGCCAAGCGAAAGCAUUAAGCAUCCCACCUGGGGAGUACGCCGGCAACGGUGAAACUCAAAGGAAUUGACGGGGGCCCGCACAAGCGGAGGAACAUGUGGUUUAAUUCGAUGAUACGCGAGGAACCUUACCCGGGCUUGAAUUGCAGAGGAAGGAUUUGGAGACAAUGACGCCCUUCGGGGUCUCUGUGAAGGUGCUGCAUGGUUGUCGUCAGCUCGUGCCGUGAGGUGUCGGCUUAAGUGCCAUAACGAGCGCAACCCCUCUCCUUAGUUGCCAUCAGGUUAAGCUGGGCACUCUGGGGACACUGCCACCGUAAGGUGUGAGG
This 1138-nucleotide ribosomal RNA is filed under the name uncultured bacterium. Its description in RNAcentral is "bacterial SSU rRNA". It matches the Rfam family "Bacterial small subunit ribosomal RNA", at positions 40 to 1169 of the family's 1533-position model. The record is from RNAcentral.